UACUGCUCUUCCAACAAUAAACAACAGCAUCAAGAUGGAAGUUGGAAUUGAAGAUUGUUUGCACAUUGAAUUUGAAUACAACAAAAGCAAGUAUCAUCUGAAGGAUGUUAUCAUUGGCAAAAUAUACUUUCUUCUAGUAAGAAUUAAAAUAAAAAAUAUGGAGCUCAAGAUUAGACGGCACUGGAUCAGGGCCUAAUACAUAUGUUGAGACUUUGACCCCUGCAAAAUUUGAGUUGAUGGAUGGUGCUCCUGUAAGAGGUAUCUCAUAUUGAACUCAAUGUGUAAACUAUUCUGCGGUAUACAUCUGGAUGUUUUAUAAUGCCUCAUCCCUAUUUAGGAAUGCAUUGGGUCUUCUGGCUUGUCAGAAUACAAGUUUCUGCUGGCCACAGGGGCCAUCCAAUCUGCCUUGAGAUGCGUGUGUAUCCUUGAAUGCAGCUGUUCCAUGUUUGAAGGCAUGCAGUGUGCAUCUCAAGGCAAGAUGUGUGGCAUCUGUGGCUAAUGGUGACCCCCUAUUCUUGCUGGCUAUCAGAGACAACUUCUGGUCUGCAAUUCAUACAUUUAGCUACAUGAAUAUCUGCUGAAUCUUUCAUAACCUUGAAAUUCUACCAUUAAUGAUUCUAUUGUCUUUAGCUUUCUAACAACUUAUAUCUCACCAAUUAAUGGUUCAAGUGUCUACAUCUUUCUACCGACCUAGUAUCCGAUCACCUCUUAAAUAUGGAAUAGUUUAACUUAGCUCUCAGUAUACUUGGUUAUGGUAAUUCAUGAAUAUUGAGAAGACUCAGUAGUAUUUCUUGCAAGACGUAUAUGGCAGGCUUACAGAAAAUGCACGUCGUUAACACUUUUUGUGCUGUGUUUCUUUUCAGCUUACUGAACUGAAGUUAAUUGUAACAUUAAUUAUUAAUUGUUAGAGAGCAUUGGCACUAGCAUCUAAGCUCGGCUGAGUUUCUAGUUGUUGGACAUUGAUGAUCUAUUCCAUAGGAGUCUGGUGUAUUUAGCAUUUUGCAAGAUUCUCAAUAUCGGUACUGGGUGGUAUAUUAAAAUAUAUAAUAAAAAAAUUGCGCCUUCCUCCUAAAAGUCCAUCUCCUUUAACCAAUCUUAUGUUUUUGCUGUUUGUAUUGUAAGAUCUAUUGUCUCUUCAGAGACAUCUGAUAAAAAAAAAAAAGGUAUUGUAAGACCUACUGUAUUUACAAGCAAUUCCAUGUUUACAUAUUAUCCACAAACCUGGCAUUAUUUAUUGUUUUGAUGACUGAGAUACAUCAGCCCACAACCACAAGAUCAACGUUUAUAAUGGAACGAGAAGGAAAAAGCUGUUAUUAACCAACCAAAUUACCCAGAAAAACUAGGA
This is a non-coding RNA of Phoenix dactylifera (date palm), 1345 nucleotides long. NCBI's taxonomy places the organism in Eukaryota, Viridiplantae, Streptophyta, Magnoliopsida, Arecales, Arecaceae. The record is from RefSeq and is a predicted model, not a curated record.